RNAcentral lists this non-coding RNA (30 nucleotides) under Homo sapiens (human). Lineage: Eukaryota; Metazoa; Chordata; Mammalia; Primates; Hominidae. The record is from RNAcentral.
UGCCUAUUAUGGUCAUCUUCUUUCCAGAGG